Long non-coding RNA from Acanthochromis polyacanthus (spiny chromis), 1601 nucleotides. RefSeq lists it as uncharacterized. The record is from RefSeq and is a predicted model, not a curated record. NCBI's taxonomy places the organism in Eukaryota, Metazoa, Chordata, Actinopteri, Pomacentridae. The transcript has 2 exons.
GCUAGCAGGCGGACCCUGCUUGUGUCCGUCCCGAGUUGCCGUGCCGACGGGGCCAGCGGUGGGGCUGUGCAGACCCUGAGUACCUCCUGGAAUAUGCUUUAAAGUUCCACCAACUGUUCACAGAAACACGAGUAUGGGGCAGAGGGAGCGCCAGAACUAAAGAAAAAUGAAGAUGCAGCAGAAGUGAACAACGCACAUGGGGAGAGAGUCACAAUACAAAGAAUCUAAAUGAACCUUAUAAAAGACAUUGUGGCUCAAGAGGAAACUAUGAAUUAGCAAUACUUUGUCACAUGUCAUGUAAUCCUCUGCGCUGACCAGCAGAGAGCAGUAACAACCAGGCCAUUACUCCUGCUCUGCACUGGUGUCAUCCGAGAGCCUCUAAGUGCUGUCAUUUUCUGAUGAACUUCUGAUGAGAGAAAUACUUAAAUUUACCUCCUGUCGUGGUCAAAUUCUGGUUUUGAAUCUUUACAGAAGUGGAAAAGCCCUUCAUGAAAUGAAAAGCAUAACACACAGAUGCAAGAGAAAACUGAAUUUUGCAUCCAAAUGUGCCAAAAAAACCUUACAUGGUCACAUACAAGCAUGAUAAAUACCCAUGGCACAAUCUGAGCUGCCACACACUGUAAACAUCAUGUGUAGAUAUGCAGACAUUUAAUAUAUUUAACAUUACCUUCACUAUGUUUUCAUCUAUGACUCAGUUUCUGCACUUCCAUCGGAAUCAGACAUGUUUUAACCUUGAAGUAGAGUCAUGUAAAACAAACAGCCCUAAGGACACGUUUCACAUUUGGGAGAAAAUGCAAACAUCAAAACAACUUUUUUAUUGUACUAUUAACUGACCAUAAAGCAACUGACCAUGUUUUCCUCAUGACCGCCAUUUUGCCUUUGAUGUACUGGCUGUAAAUCUGCUGAUGUCUGGCAGUAGGCUUUCCUUAUCACCCCGGCCAUCUGAACAUCACAUGAAAAAACUGAAAAACACAGUUAAGUUUGUCCUUGUUUUCACACAUCUGACAGAAACUACCAAGCGAACAUCAGCUGUCAAGGAAGACUGACAUUUUCUAUCAUAAUUUGCAGUUGUGGUGCAGUUUUGUGAAUGUGUAACAGCCGGCAGCUAAUUGAUUGAAACUUUCUUGUCACAGCGGAAGACAAACCUGCCACAUGUACACAUGCAAACAAAUGAGACGCUGUGAUUGGCUCAAACUGAUUUUCUUUAGCUUUUGUGUUGCAGUUAGUCAAACGGUACGACCUUGACAACUGUCAGAGGCAAGAAACAUGAUUGCUGUGUAUGUGUUUGUGUGUUAAUGAGUGUGUAUGCGUGACACUGUAUACCAAAAGAGCCACGAGUGUAAAUACAAAUGGACAAGCAAGAGAGGAGAAUAAGUGAUGUGACGUGACUCCCUCUGUGUCAGACUGUGCAGAGGAAAGAACAGAAUACAAGGACAGCAGCUUUCCACUUUAUACACACAUUUCACUUCCUUCUUUUUGAGCAUUGAUCUUCAGCUCUUCUCAUUUGCCCUCCAUCUCCUUUUCAUCCUUUCUGUUUUUACUUUUUACUGGCUCUCCUGCUCUCAUUGUAAAAAUAAAAACUUUGUUGCUGUGACUGUCAA